CGGCGUCGAGCGGCGGACGGGUGAGUAAUGCCUGGGAAAUUGCCCUGAUGUGGGGGAUAACCAUUGGAAACGAUGGCUAAUACCGCAUAAUAGCUUCGGCUCAAAGAGGGGGACCUUCGGGCCUCUCGCGUCAGGAUAUGCCCAGGUGGGAUUAGCUAGUUGGUGAGGUAAGGGCUCACCAAGGCGACGAUCCCUAGCUGGUCUGAGAGGAUGAUCAGCCACACUGGAACUGAGACACGGUCCAGACUCCUACGGGAGGCAGCAGUGGGGAAUAUUGCACAAUGGGCGCAAGCCUGAUGCAGCCAUGCCGCGUGUAUGAAGAAGGCCUUCGGGUUGUAAAGUACUUUCAGCAGUGAGGAAGGUGGAUGCGUUAAUAGCGUAUUCAUUUGACGUUAGCUGCAGAAGAAGCACCGGCUAACUCCGUGCCAGCAGCCGCGGUAAUACGGAGGGUGCGAGCGUUAAUCGGAAUUACUGGGCGUAAAGCGCAUGCAGGUGGUUUGUUAAGUCAGAUGUGAAAGCCCGGGGCUCAACCUCGGAAUUGCAUUUGAAACUGGCAGACUAGAGUACUGUAGAGGGGGGUAGAAUUUCAGGUGUAGCGGUGAAAUGCGUAGAGAUCUGAAGGAAUACCGGUGGCGAAGGCGGCCCCCUGGACAGAUACUGACACUCAGAUGCGAAAGCGUGGGGAGCAAACAGGAUUAGAUACCCUGGUAGUCCACGCCGUAAACGAUGUCUACUUGGAGGUUGUGGCCUUGAGCCGUGGCUUUCGGAGCUAACGCGUUAAGUAGACCGCCUGGGGGAGUACGGUCGCAAGAUUAAAACUCAAAUGAAUUGACGGGGGCCCGCACAAGCGGUGGAGCAUGUGGUUUAAUUCGAUGCAACGCGAAGAACCUUACCUACUCUUGACAUCCAGAGAAGCCAGCAGAGAUGCAGGUGUGCCUUCGGGAGCUCUGAAGACAGGUGCUGCAUGGCUGUCGUCACCUCGUGUUGUGAAAUGUUGGGUUAAGUCCC
This 1008-nucleotide ribosomal RNA is filed under the name Vibrio sp. RNAcentral describes it as "bacterial SSU rRNA". It matches the Rfam family "Bacterial small subunit ribosomal RNA", at positions 86 to 1088 of the family's 1533-position model. The record is from RNAcentral. Lineage: Bacteria; Pseudomonadati; Pseudomonadota; Gammaproteobacteria; Vibrionales; Vibrionaceae.